GGAGACUAGAGACACCAGAGUCUAAACUGAAAGUGAAGCUACUGACUAGAGGGAAGUUGAUAAAUAAAAUAUUCAAAUCAAAGAAAUCAGAGACUCAGUAUUUCCGAACCUCUCUCCUAAUGAAAGCAGGAAGAGAGGAGGCAUUAGUGGAGUAAAAGAAAGAGAUUGAGUUACUACAAGAAAAUAUAUCAAUAACUAGUGUACAACUGCUGAUGAUUCAAAAGGGAAAUAUUGAGAAGAAGGAUCAGUGUACACAAUCACUG
This is a long non-coding RNA of Amphimedon queenslandica, 263 nucleotides long. RefSeq lists it as uncharacterized. The record is from RefSeq and is a predicted model, not a curated record. NCBI's taxonomy places the organism in Eukaryota, Metazoa, Porifera, Demospongiae, Haplosclerida, Niphatidae. The transcript is spliced from 4 exons.